This 590-nucleotide ribosomal RNA is filed under the name Candida albicans. Its description in RNAcentral is "eukaryotic LSU rRNA". It matches the Rfam family "Eukaryotic large subunit ribosomal RNA", at positions 66 to 669 of the family's 3401-position model. The record is from RNAcentral. Lineage: Eukaryota; Fungi; Ascomycota; Pichiomycetes; Serinales; Debaryomycetaceae.
CAACAGGGUUAUUGCCUCAGUAGCGGCGAGUGAAGCGGCAAAAGCUCAAAUUUGAAAUCUGGCGUCUUUGGCGUCCGAGUUGUAAUUUGAAGAAGGUAUCUUUGGGCCCGGCUCUUGUCUAUGUUCCUUGGAACAGGACGUCACAGAGGGUGAGAAUCCCGUGCGAUGAGAUGACCCGGGUCUGUGUAAAGUUCCUUCGACGAGUCGAGUUGUUUGGGAAUGCAGCUCUAAGUGGGUGGUAAAUUCCAUCUAAAGCUAAAUAUUGGCGAGAGACCGAUAGCGAACAAGUACAGUGAUGGAAAGAUGAAAAGAACUUUGAAAAGAGAGUGAAAAAGUACGUGAAAUUGUUGAAAGGGAAGGGCUUGAGAUCAGACUUGGUAUUUUGCAUGCUGCUCUCUCGGGGGCGGCCGCUGCGGUUUACCGGGCCAGCAUCGGUUUGGAGCGGCAGGAUAAUGGCGGAGGAAUGUGGCACGGCUUCUGCUGUGUGUUAUAGCCUCUGACGAUACUGCCAGCCUAGACCGAGGACUGCGGUUUUUACCUAGGAUGUUGGCAUAAUGAUCUUAAGUCGCCCGUCUUGAAACACGGACCCA